Molecule: ribosomal RNA, 377 nt
Filed under: uncultured bacterium
Lineage: Bacteria
Description: partial 16S ribosomal RNA
Rfam family: Bacterial small subunit ribosomal RNA
Source: RNAcentral
CCUACGGGAGGCAGCAGUGGGGAAUAUUGGACAAUGGGGGAAACCCUGAUCCAGCGACGCCGCGUGAGUGAAGAAGUAUUUCGGUACGUAAAGCUCUAUCAGCAGGGAAGCAAAUGACGGUACCUGACUAAGAAGCCCCGGCUAACUACGUGCCAGCAGCCGCGGUAAGACGUAGGGGGCAAGCGUUAUCCGGAUUUACUGGGGGUAAAGGGAGCGUAGACGGCAGCGAAAGUCUGGGGUGAAAUGCCGGGGCCCAACCCCGGUCCUGCUGUGGAAACUGGGCAGCUGGAGUGCAGGAGAGGUAAGCGGAAUGCCUGGUGUAGCGGUGAAAUGCGUAGAUAUCAGGCGGAACACCGGCGGCGAAGGCGGCUUACUGG